GAAAUGCGAUAAGUAAUGUGAAUUGCAGAAUUCAGUGAAUCAUCGAAUCUUUGAACGCACAUUGCACCCGCCAGUAUUCUGGCGGGCAUGCCUGUCCGAGCGUCAUUUCAACCAUCAAGCCCCGGGCUUGUGUUGGGGACCUGCGGCUGCCCGCAGGCCCUGAAAACCAGUGGCGGGCUCGCUGUCACACCGAGCGUAGUAGCAAUCACCUCGCUCAGGGCGUGCUGCGGGUUCCGGCCGUUAAACAGCCUUACAAAACCCAAGGUUGACCUCGGAUCAGGUAGGAAGACCCGCUGAACUUAAGC
This 305-nucleotide unclassified non-coding RNA is filed under the name plant metagenome. RNAcentral describes it as "partial contains 5.8S ribosomal RNA, internal transcribed spacer 2, and large subunit ribosomal RNA". The stretch from base 1 to 105 matches the Rfam family "5.8S ribosomal RNA", at positions 50 to 154 of the family's 154-position model. The record is from RNAcentral.